GCUUGCUUUGGCAACACAUAUACAAAAAUUGGAAUAACACAGAGAAGACUGGCAUGGCCCCUGGCACAAGGAUGACACACAAAUUCAUGAAGCAUUCCAUAUUAAA
Small nuclear RNA from Acomys russatus (golden spiny mouse), 106 nucleotides. Lineage: Eukaryota; Metazoa; Chordata; Mammalia; Rodentia; Muridae. The record is from RefSeq and is a predicted model, not a curated record.